This is a long non-coding RNA of Lemur catta (Ring-tailed lemur), 2021 nucleotides long. RefSeq lists it as uncharacterized. The record is from RefSeq and is a predicted model, not a curated record. NCBI's taxonomy places the organism in Eukaryota, Metazoa, Chordata, Mammalia, Primates, Lemuridae. The transcript has 2 exons.
AGAGAAAAGAGAAGGAAAUAAAAAAAUAACUCUUCAUUUUCUUUCCCUGAGGAACUUCUUUGUUUUUAUUUGUGUGUACAGUGAAUCUUUGUAUUUCUUCCCCAGCAACCCCUGCCCAGCAACACUACCACCCUCUUUGGCUAGUAGAAAUCUCUGAAAAAAAAUUGAAACUUAUCUCCAAAUGCAGGGACUGUAAAUAAAGUUACUAUGUCCUCUGCUUUUUCAAAAAUAUAAGUGACCAUUGGAUAUUAGAAAGCUGCUUUACUUUUACUGAAAAGAGACCUUUGUGUUCAGUAUCAAUUUCUUCAUAGGAGAUAAAAAGGUUUGGAUUAAUAAUAGCAGUUACUAUGUGCUAUGCACUGUUCAAAUUGCUUUAUGUAUAUUUGCUCAUUUAGUUCUAAAAAUAAUCCUAUGACAUAGGUAUUAUUACCCAGUUUAACAGCUGAGAAAUCUGAGUCACAGAGAGUUAAGUGACUUGCCCAGAGUCACAUGGCUACUAAAUAGCAGAGCUCUGGAUUUCAUGCUCUGAACCAUGUGCAAAAUAUCAAAGCUAUCAACUGAGGUUAAAAGCAAAGCAACUGCUUAGGGGAAAUGCGACUUUCUUAGGUAUUGGGCCUGGGAAAAAUUUCUUCUUCGGGUAUUUAUAAAAUUGAUGCCAUAUGACAUUGUGAACACUAUUUUUCAUAACAACCUUCCAGUAAAUAGCAUGAAGCUUUUUUUUUUUUACAUGAUAAAUCUUUGAGGAGCCAAUAUCUUGUGAUUCUGGUGUAUGCCUUUGAAGUUGUGUGGCAUGAUUUGAGGACAGAUUAUAUAUCCAUCAGGUGAACAGAUGGACGGCAUGUCUUCUGAGCACUCCUCCCUGAAUGUGUUUUGAGACUACACUUCUAUGAAGCAUAGUCUAGCAAAGAAUUUGAUUUUAUCCUUUCUGUCAGGAAUGUAGAGUAGAAGUGUCGUAUGUUGUCAGUUAAAGGCAGAUUCUUGAAUUUUAACAAACGCAGCAGAAGGGUUAGUAUCCUUCCAAGUAUGCCUGAACAGAAGCCUGCCCGGCCGCAACACAGAAGAUGUGAUCUUCUAAGAGUCUUUCUUGGUGUGAAAUUCCAUGAUUCUAUGGAUGUGAAAUACAACUUCAGGUUUAUAGAACUCCAAUGUUCAGAUCUUAGAGUCGUAAUGAAUUGCUGUAAGAGUACAGUGCUUCUAUGACAGUGUUAUUUAUUUGUAACAAAAAAGGAAAAAUAGGGAGAACAAUUGUAGAUUACUGCUUUCUUUGAACUGAGUCAGAGCUUCUUCACUGGUAAGUAUUCCCCUUCCCAUAUUUCUUUACCAAUCAAAAUUUCUAAAAUAGUAUAAUACUACAUUCUAAGCAUAUUUGAACUUGUAUUUAUUUUUCAUACAGGAAAUUUGGAAAAUAAAAAUCAGCAUUAAGAAAAAAUAAAAAUCUCCAACAAUCCUACUAGAGGCUAUAAAUCUCAGUCCUGUCUGUUCCUGCCCACACACACAUGACAACGUACUUAAAGGGUCGAAUAUGCACACUGUGUCUCUUUCUCCUGUUGAGACCAUUCCUCGAAUACCUGGUGAUGUCCUGGAUGUCUGUUCACAUUUGAGGAUAAGUUACUAAGUAGAUGAUUGGGAGCCACAACCAGCUACUCAAAACAUAUUCACAUUUAUCUAAAAAUGAAGUCCUGGUUAAUGUAAAACUACAACAUGUGGUCUGCAGAACCUGAAGCUGCGGCAAAGAAACCUACCAUCUUCCAGCAGAAAUCUUCAGUACCAUGAUGGAGCAUGGGCAUAAUCCCAGUUGCUGACCCUGACGUCACCGCUGCCUUGGCCAGCCCUGCUUCCACCCUCGCCCCUCGCCUGGCAGGGGGAUCGGUGGGGAUUUCACCAUGGCGUGAGCAGUUGUCUCUGUGCCAUUCUACAAGAGCAUGAGCUCUUGUCUAAACAGUCAUCCAUCCUAUUUCUUCCACUUCUGUGGAGGCCACAUUGGACUGACAUUAGUGAGAAAUAAACCUUUAUUGUGCUAA